This 1377-nucleotide ribosomal RNA is filed under the name Tapinoma melanocephalum. RNAcentral describes it as "partial 28S ribosomal RNA". It matches the Rfam family "Eukaryotic large subunit ribosomal RNA", at positions 364 to 1413 of the family's 3401-position model. Lineage: Eukaryota; Metazoa; Arthropoda; Insecta; Hymenoptera; Formicidae. RNAcentral also lists the same sequence under 1 other name. The record is from RNAcentral.
UUGAAAAGAACUUUGAAGAGAGAGUUCAAGAGUACGUGAAACCGUUCAGGGGUAAACCUAAGAAACCCAAAAGAUCGAACGGGGAGAUUCAUCGUCAGCGGCGCUGGCUUCGCGUCGGUGGGCGAUGUUCCGCGGAGCCCUCGCGGGUCCUACCGCGGACACGCUACCGUGCGUCGAUGUCCGGCGUUCGUCGUCGUGCACUUCUCCCCUAGUAGGACGUCGCGACCCGCUGGGUGUCGGUCUACGGCCCGGGUGCGGUGACUGUCGCGUCGCCGGUAAAACGGCACGCGGCAAACCCUCGGUAGCCCGACCGGCUGCCCGGCGGUACACGCAUGGUAUCAGGCCGCACUCUAUUACACGUGUGCGUCGGGACCGUCGCAAGCGCGCGCCACGGUACUCGGAGGUUACGGACCUAGCGCCGUCCCCGGUCCUGGCCCGCUGUUGGUCGUACGGAACUCCUUCGACAGGCCUGCCCAAUUGUAAAUACCGGUCGGCGACGCUACUGCUUUGGGUACUCUUAGGACCCGUCUUGAAACACGGACCAAGGAGUCUAACAUGUACGCGAGUCAUUGGGACUAGCGAGACCUAAAGGCGCAAUGAAAGUGAAGGUCGGCCCUGGUUGUCGACCGAGGGAGGAUGGGCCGCGUCGCGAUGCGGCUCCGCACUCCCGGGGCGUCUCGUUCUCAUUGCGAGAAGAGGCGCACCCAGAGCGUACACGUUGGGACCCGAAAGAUGGUGAACUAUGCCUGGUCAGGACGAAGUCAGGGGAAACCCUGAUGGAGGUCCGUAGCGAUUCUGACGUGCAAAUCGAUCGUCGGAACUGGGUAUAGGGGCGAAAGACUAAUCGAACCAUCUAGUAGCUGGUUCCCUCCGAAGUUUCCCUCAGGAUAGCUGGCACUCGGCCGUUCCUACAGGAACGCGCGCGAGUCUCAUCUGGUAAAGCGAAUGAUUAGAGGCCUUGGGGCCGAAACGACCUCAACCUAUUCUCAAACUUUAAAUGGGUGAGAUCUCUGGCUUUCUUGAAUUAUGAAGCCACGAGCAUCUCGGAUCAGAGUGCCAAGUGGGCCAUUUUUGGUAAGCAGAACUGGCGCUGUGGGAUGAACCAAACGCAGAGUUAAGGCGCCCAACUCGACGCUCAUGGGACACCAUGAAAGGCGUUGGUUGCUUAAGACAGCAGGACGGUGGCCAUGGAAGUCGGAAUCCGCUAAGGAGUGUGUAACAACUCACCUGCCGAAGCAACUAGCCCUGAAAAUGGAUGGCGCUGAAGCGUCGAGCCUAUACUCUGCCGUCAGCGGCAAGUGGGGCGGUUGCGCGCAAGCGCGCCGUCACGAAGCCCUGACGAGUAGGAGGGUCGCGGCGGUGUGCGCAGAAGGGUCU